Molecule: transfer RNA, 77 nt
Filed under: Acholeplasmataceae bacterium
Lineage: Bacteria; Bacillati; Mycoplasmatota; Mollicutes; Acholeplasmatales; Acholeplasmataceae
Also listed under: 2 other names
Description: tRNA-Thr
Rfam family: tRNA
About the family: Transfer RNA (tRNA) molecules are approximately 80 nucleotides in length. Their secondary structure includes four short double-helical elements and three loops (D, anti-codon, and T loops). Further hydrogen bonds mediate the characteristic L-shaped molecular structure. tRNAs have two regions of fundamental functional importance: the anti-codon, which is responsible for specific mRNA codon recognition, and the 3' end, to which the tRNAs corresponding amino acid is attached (by aminoacyl-tRNA synthetases). tRNAs cope with the degeneracy of the genetic code in two manners: having more than one tRNA (with a specific anti-codon) for a particular amino acid; and 'wobble' base-pairing, i.e. permitting non-standard base-pairing at the 3rd anti-codon position.
Source: RNAcentral
GCCGAAAUAGCUCAAUCUGGUAGAGCAACUGACUUGUAAUCAGUAGGUUGCGGGUUCGAUUCCUGCUUUCGGCACCA